This 536-nucleotide long non-coding RNA is filed under the name Olea europaea subsp. europaea. The record is from RNAcentral. Lineage: Eukaryota; Viridiplantae; Streptophyta; Magnoliopsida; Lamiales; Oleaceae.
GCCUCACUCGUCUUCAACAUCAACGAUUCAUCUACGGUCACCAUCAUCGGCCGCCACCUAUACUAAAGCCGGCAAACCACUUCGACUACCACCAUUUCAUUUGAGUCGCCCGGUGCUCCUCUGUCGUAUAUACACCGCUAGAAACCAUUUUCGCCACCUCCAAGGUCAAACUCCGUUCCUUCUCAUCAUGAAUCGCCACCAAACAACUCCCACAACUUCAUCCCUACCGGUGGUUGCCUGUCUCUCUGACUGCCCCACCUCUACCUCACACUUUCAUAGCAAGCCCAUAUUGUCCACAAUUAACACAGUCGUCGUAGUCAACAUCAAGGGCCACUGUCGGAAGAACAAUUCUAAAGCGUGCGACGACGAGACCGCUGUCGGUAGAGAGUGAAAAAAUCCACAGCCAUCUCCAUAUCCCUUGACUACAUCAACACCCCUGCAAAUUCAGUACACACCAACAUCCCCACAUAUUCACUACAUCGCCACGUGCGACGACGAGGUGCUCUAAAAACAAGUCGGGUUGCUGAAUCGACGAC